Molecule: transfer RNA, 77 nt
Filed under: Bacillus phage P59
Lineage: Duplodnaviria; Heunggongvirae; Uroviricota; Caudoviricetes; Herelleviridae
Description: tRNA-Arg
Rfam family: tRNA
About the family: Transfer RNA (tRNA) molecules are approximately 80 nucleotides in length.
Source: RNAcentral
GUCCCUUUAGCUCAGUGGACUAGAGCGAUUGGCUACGAACCAAUAGGCCAGGGGUUCGAAUCCCUCAAGGGACUCCA